GGAGAAGGGCUGUAGCUCAGUGGUAGAGCAUCUGCUUUGCAUACAGAAGGUGCCAGGUUCAAUCCUCCUGCAUCUCCA
Molecule: non-coding RNA, 78 nt
Organism: Podarcis lilfordi (Lilford's wall lizard)
Lineage: Eukaryota; Metazoa; Chordata; Lepidosauria; Squamata; Lacertidae
Source: the annotation of a GenBank genome assembly